CCAGUUAGCCGAAGGCGAGCGAGAGGAGGAUCAUUACCGAGUUUACAACUCCCAAACCCAUGUGAACAUACCUACUGUUGCUUCGGCGGGAUUGCCCCGGGCGCCUCGUGUGCCCCGGAUCAGGCGCCCGCCUAGGAACUUCAACUCUUGUUUUAUUUUGAAUCUUCUGAGUAGUUUUUACAAAUAAAUAAAAACUUUCAACAACGGAUCUCUUGGUUCUGGCAUCGAUGAAGAACGCAGCGAAAUGCGAUAAGUAAUGUGAAUUGCAGAAUUCAGUGAAUCAUCGAAUCUUUGAACGCACAUUGCGCCCGCCAGUAUUCUGGCGGGCAUGCCUGUCUGAGCGUCAUUUCAACCCUCAGGCCCCUUGGGCGUGGUGUUGGGGAUCGGCCAAAGCCCGCGAGGGACGGCCGGCCCCUAAAUCUAGUGGCGGACCCGUCGUGGCCUCCCCUGCGAAGUAGUGAUAUUCCGCAUCGGAGAGCGACGAGCCCCUGCCGUUAAACCCCCGACUUUCCAAGGUUGACCUCAAAUCAGGUAGGAAUACCCGCUGAACUUAAGCAUAUCAAUUAUGCGGACGCACCUC
This 580-nucleotide ribosomal RNA is filed under the name Clonostachys rosea. Its description in RNAcentral is "eukaryotic LSU rRNA". The stretch from base 193 to 346 matches the Rfam family "5.8S ribosomal RNA". Lineage: Eukaryota; Fungi; Ascomycota; Sordariomycetes; Hypocreales; Bionectriaceae. The record is from RNAcentral.